This 1336-nucleotide long non-coding RNA is filed under the name Olea europaea subsp. europaea. Lineage: Eukaryota; Viridiplantae; Streptophyta; Magnoliopsida; Lamiales; Oleaceae. The record is from RNAcentral.
CAAACAGAAGCUAUAAUAAAAAUAAAUAAACAAUACAACUUCAAAUAAAGCUAUAAAUAAAUGAAGAGAAUCUUGAGCAUAUCUAACUCUUACAGCUUGUUUGGAGAGAUUUUUUACUCAAAAAAAUUGAUUUUUUGACCGUUAUUUCACUAUUUUAACUGUAAUUUUUGACUUUUUCAGUGAACCCCAAUUUUCUUUUAACGACUAAAAAAUCAAUUCUCAAAAUUUCUCCCAAACGAACCUUAAUAAUUGAAAUCAGAUUCAAAACAAAUGAAAGUAACCAUGGAAUUUCACUUUUUAGGUACUCAUAAUCCAAAAUGGAGAAAACCCGACUUUACGUAAAAUCUCUAGGGACCAUUUGAACCUUAUUAUUUGUAGAUUAUAAUGAGAUGAAUAUUAUUUUUUUGAAAAAUGAGUGGUUGAAUUUUUUUUGAUUUACUUGUAAUAUUAUUGUAUAGAAAAUUAUGUGAUUAAAAGUAAGAGAGAAAAAUCUUUAAUUUAAUGUAACGAAAAAUAAUAAAACUCAAACGGGAGCUAAAUCUCCUUCUCUGUGGGAAUGAAACAAACUGGAAAGCUAUGAAAAUCGGAGUUUGACAUCUUCCAAGCUUCAAGUAAUCACGGUACACUACAAAAUUAUAACAACAUAAUCUAAAGAAAAGCAUUGAUUUGGUAAAAUUACUUUAUCUUUAUACUCUGAAUUAAAUCCUCAAUACGCAUCAAGAGCUAGUCUCAUCAGCAAUUCACAAUAAAGGCUCUGUUGGGUAGUACAAUAACGGAGAUAAAAAAUGUUGAUAAUAAUAUAGGGAAAUCUAAAUACGUUAAUGAACUCCAAGGAACGGAAAAACGUUAUCUUUUAAGAAAUAUUUCUCCUCUAUUCAACAAAAUCACAACUGGGGUAUGGUUAAAAAUCUCUCUCAGGAUACAAUGGAGGCGUUUGAUUCAAAUUGUGACUAUUUGAUCAAACCAAGAAGACACUCGAAAAUGACUGAUUGAUGCCAAGAGAAAGAAGGAAGAAUAAGUUGUUUUUAAUGUGUUUGCAAAUGAGAAUUUGCCCAAAAUUUAUAGACACUGAGGCAACUGUUUGAAUAGGUGUAUCACUUGAAAGUGGCACAGCGACAAACACUAAUCCGGGUGGCAAAUCAUUCACAAAAAUAAAAAUUAAACACAUGCAAAAUGAUGAAAAAUAUCUAACAUAAAAUUGCUAUUGGAGUAAAUAAUACGCGCACAAAAAAAAACCAAAAUAUGUAUGUGUUUUGAUUGAAAAAAAGAUUACCCGUUGGCUUUUAGGAGAAUCUUCCUCUCUUCUCUCUCACAAUAACGCCUCCUCCACUUGUUC